AGGUGCAUUGAGAAGCUUGGUGAGGUUGAAAACUUGAGUUAGUUGCAUUGGAUGAGUUAGGUGCAUUGGAUAAGUUAGGCGCAUUAGUUGAGUUGGGUUGAGAAUUAGGGGUAGCCUAGCUUGUCUGUUGAGACACAUGGCCCUCUCUUCUGACCCUAAACUUUGCCCUGUCUUCACCUACAUCAGGUUACUUCAUAUUUGUGAGGGUUAAUUUGGUUACUUGAAGAAGCAAGAAACAUA
Molecule: long non-coding RNA, 240 nt
Filed under: Prunus persica (peach)
Lineage: Eukaryota; Viridiplantae; Streptophyta; Magnoliopsida; Rosales; Rosaceae
Description: long non-coding RNA (PPER_LNC005039)
Source: RNAcentral